UGGAGGAUUAUAUAUGUCUGUGAUUUCAAUUUAGUAUAAACCAGAGUGCAUUGGAAGGCCUAGACAUGUAACUAAAGAAGAAUUAAUUAAUUAUAACAUCUGUGGUUAGCUUGUACUCAAGUUUCAGAUCCAGAACAAGUUAUUAGACGAUCACAAUACAGAAUCACAUAGAGUUUGAAAUGUAAGUUUAAUUUGUCGACUUAUUUAAAAAGAAUUUGGUAAAAAUAUAUACUAAGAUUAUUGAUCUCGAUGGUUUGCCAAAAAGAAGAAGAAGAAAAAGAGAAAAGAGAGGGGGGUGGUGACGGAGUUAUUGAUUGCGAUGAACAGCUUGUGGUAAGAUGAUGUUC
RNAcentral lists this long non-coding RNA (347 nucleotides) under Phoenix dactylifera (date palm). RNAcentral describes it as "long non-coding RNA (PDAC_LNC006081)". Lineage: Eukaryota; Viridiplantae; Streptophyta; Magnoliopsida; Arecales; Arecaceae. The record is from RNAcentral.